This 37-nucleotide ribosomal RNA is filed under the name Pseudoxytenanthera stocksii. RNAcentral describes it as "partial 18S ribosomal RNA". The record is from RNAcentral. Lineage: Eukaryota; Viridiplantae; Streptophyta; Magnoliopsida; Poales; Poaceae.
UCUUUUUAUACGCUGAGCGAAGGAGAGGAAUCAUGUG